RNAcentral lists this ribosomal RNA (860 nucleotides) under uncultured Chloroflexota bacterium. RNAcentral's name for it is "bacterial SSU rRNA". It matches the Rfam family "Bacterial small subunit ribosomal RNA", at positions 633 to 1501 of the family's 1533-position model. Lineage: Bacteria; Bacillati; Chloroflexota. The record is from RNAcentral.
CUGCUAGACUAGAGGACGGUAGAGGAAAGUGGAAUUCCCGGUGUAGUGGUGAAAUGCGUAGAUAUCGGGAGGAACACCAGUGGCGAAAGCGACUUUCUGGCCCGUUCCUGACACUAAGACGCGAAAGCUAGGGUAGCAAACAGGAUUAGAGACCCUGGUAGUCCUAGCCGUAAACGAUGUCAACUAGGCGUUGGUGGGUUAAUAGCCAUCAGUGCCGUAGCUAACGCGAUAAGUUGACCGCCUGGGGACUACGAUCGCAAGAUUAAAACUCAAAGGAAUUGACGGGGCCCCGCACAAGCAGCGGAGCGUGUGGUUUAAUUCGAUUCUACACGAAGAACCUUACCUGGGCUUGACAUGUCGAUGAACGAUUGCGAAAGCAUGAGGCUCCCUUCGGGGACAUCGUCACAGGUGUUGCAUGGCUGUCGUCAGCUCGUGUCGUGAGAUGUUCGGUUAAGUCCGGUAACGAGCGCAACCCUCGCCGUAUGUUAUAUGUGUCAUGCGGGACCGCAGGUUUCAAACCUGAGGAAGGUGGGGAUGACGUCAAGUCAGCAUGGCCUUUAUGUCCAGGGCUACACACACGCUACAAUGGACGGUACAAUGGGUUGCCAAGCCGCGAGGUGGAGCCAAUCCCCCAAAGCCGUCCCCAGUUCAGAUUGCAGGCUGCAACUCGCCUGCAUGAAGUCGGAGUUGCUAGUAAUCGCGCGUCAGCUAUAGUGCGGUGAAUACGUUCUCGGGGCUUGUACACACCGCCCGUCACGUCAUGGAAGUUGGUAACACCUGAAGUCGGUAGUUUAACCCUCACGGGAAGACGCCGCCUAAGGUGGGGCUGAUAACUAGGACGAAGUCGUAACAAGGUAACC